AUUGAACGCUGGCGGCAUGCCUUACACAUGCAAGUCGAACGGCGGCGGACCUUCGGGUGCCGGCGAGUGGCGAACGGGUGAGUAAUAUAUCGGAACGUACCUUUCAGUGGGGGAUAACGUAGCGAAAGUUACGCUAAUACCGCAUAUUCUGUGAGCAGGAAAGCAGGGGAUCGCAAGACCUUGCGCUGAUUGAGCGGCCGAUAUCAGAUUAGCUAGUUGGUGAGGUAAAGGCUCACCAAGGCGACGAUCUGUAGCGGGUCUGAGAGGAUGAUCCGCCACACUGGAACUGAGACACGGUCCAGACUCCUACGGGAGGCAGCAGUGGGGAAUUUUGGACAAUGGGCGCAAGCCUGAUCCAGCCAUGCCGCGUGAGUGAAGAAGGCCU
This 385-nucleotide ribosomal RNA is filed under the name uncultured bacterium. RNAcentral's name for it is "bacterial SSU rRNA". It matches the Rfam family "Bacterial small subunit ribosomal RNA", at positions 30 to 417 of the family's 1533-position model. The record is from RNAcentral.